CUGCUCCUUCAGAAGGUUGGGAAGGAAAGAGCGGAAUAGCUAAGAAGCUUUCGGGCGGCUUGAAGGUCGUCCUCCCCCAGGCUGGGAGCUCGGCGGACAGAGUCCCUCAGAGAGCCCCAAGGGGGCAAGUCCAGCCUCAAAGUCGGGCAGUGGACGAAGAGGUACUUCCCCUUCCAGUUGUGGAUUGUAGAGGGAGCAUCUUUUAGCAACCCCUUCUUGCCAAACUGGGAGGAGAAAUACCAUCAAUUUUUUGCUGAGGGAUGACGCUUGAAGGUGUAGAAAUGCCUAAACAA
Molecule: long non-coding RNA, 293 nt
Filed under: Elaeis guineensis (African oil palm)
Lineage: Eukaryota; Viridiplantae; Streptophyta; Magnoliopsida; Arecales; Arecaceae
Description: long non-coding RNA (EGUI_LNC055712)
Source: RNAcentral